Molecule: ribosomal RNA, 497 nt
Filed under: uncultured bacterium
Lineage: Bacteria
Description: partial 16S ribosomal RNA
Rfam family: Bacterial small subunit ribosomal RNA
Source: RNAcentral
GAUGAACGCUGGCGGCGUGCCUAAUACAUGCAAGUCGAGCGAACGGACGAGAAGCUUGCUUCUCUGAUGUUAGCGGCGGACGGGUGAGUAACACGUGGAUAACCUACCUAUAAGACUGGGAUAACUUCGGGAAACCGUAGCUAAUACCGGAUAAUAUUUUGAAUCGCAUGGUUCAAAAGUGAAAGACGGUCUUGCUGUCACUUAUAGAUGGAUCCGCGCUGCAUUAGCUAGUUGGUAAGGUAACGGCUUACCAAGGCAACGAUGCAUAGCCGACCUGAGAGGGUGAUCGGCCACACUGGAACUGAGACACGGUCCAGACUCCUACGGGAGGCAGCAGUAGGGAAUCUUCCGCAAAGGGCGAAAGCCUGACGGAGCAACGCCGCGUGAGUGAUGAAGGUCUUCGGAUCGUAAAACUCUGUUAUUAGGGAAGAACAUAUGUGUAAGUAACUGUGCACAUCUUGACGGUACCUAAUCAGAAAGCCACGGCUAACUACGUG